This 492-nucleotide ribosomal RNA is filed under the name uncultured bacterium. Its description in RNAcentral is "partial 16S ribosomal RNA". It matches the Rfam family "Bacterial small subunit ribosomal RNA", at positions 30 to 507 of the family's 1533-position model. The record is from RNAcentral.
AUUGAACGCUGGCGGUAGGCCUUACACAUGCAAGUCGAACGGCAGCACAGGAAGUGCCUGCUCUUGCCGGUUGCGAGAGGCGGACGGGUUAGAUAUACAUAGGUCUCUACUUUUUCGUGGGGGAGAACGAAGGGAGACUUAUACCAAUACCGAUCAACGCCUGAAGGCGAGAGAACUUGAGCCUUCGAGCUUGCGCGAUUGAAUGUGCCGGAGUCGGAUUAGCUAGUUGGUGGGGUAAAGGCCGACCAAGGCGACGAUCAGUAGCUGGUCUGAGAGGAUGAUCAGCCACACUGGGACUGAGACACGGCCCAGACUCCUACGGGAGGCAGCAGUGGGGAAUUUUGGACAAUGGGCGAAAGCCUGAUCCAGCAAUACCGCGUGGGUGAAGAAGGCCUUCGGGUUGUAAAGCACUUUUGUCCGGAAAGAAAACCUGCGCCCUAAUACGGUCGUGUGAUGACGGUACCGAAAGAAUAAGCACCGGCUAACUACGUG